UGGAGGUGCUCAUCUACAUCAUCAUGGAUUGCUUCGACCACCCACCAUCGUCCUUCACUCAUCCGUUAGAGAGGUUAUUAUCGAUCGAAAGAAAUAUUUUUGGAAAAAAUAAAUAAAAGAUAAUUUAGAUAUUUUACGCAAAUUGUUACGACAAAUAGAUGUCGAGUUGCAUUACAAUGAAAAAAAGCGUUAUUAUAUCCAAUUAAAAAUUUUAAAAAAUUAGUAUCAAAAUAUUGUUCGUUGAAAUUUGAAGAAAUAUCUCUAUAAUUUUUUCUUAAAAAUNUUUUUUAUUAAAUUGCUG
This 301-nucleotide long non-coding RNA is filed under the name Phoenix dactylifera (date palm). Its description in RNAcentral is "long non-coding RNA (PDAC_LNC004311)". The record is from RNAcentral. Lineage: Eukaryota; Viridiplantae; Streptophyta; Magnoliopsida; Arecales; Arecaceae.